CCAGACACCCUAAAAGCUUGGUCACACCUCAACACAAUAGUUUCAUCUUUUAAAGGGAAACCUGCUUCCCCCUCAGAGCUUGCAAUAGUCACGACACAAGGAGUUACUACCUUCUACUUACCCCCGUGUUAUUCCCACUGUCCCUCUUCCCAUGUGUUUUCUCACCAAUAUAUAAUUUAGGCACCGAUGCCCAGCACUAUGUAAACUCUACUUUGUUAUAUCUACUUUGUUAUAUCAGAACGUGUGCGUCACACUGUUUCAUGUUGACAAAUACUUUGUUAAUAGUUUCACAUCAUGAUGUAUACUGUUACAACAACCCUCUCCUGAUGUUUCAGACAUGUUAUUCACCCCAUGACUCUCGUCUUUAUUCUGUAAUUUCUCUACCUGUAAAACUAAC
Molecule: non-coding RNA, 397 nt
Organism: Pelobates cultripes (western spadefoot toad)
Lineage: Eukaryota; Metazoa; Chordata; Amphibia; Anura; Pelobatidae
Source: the annotation of a GenBank genome assembly